CUCCCUGCUCUAAACACAUACCAAAACUCUCUCCACCUGUGAAGCCACCUCCGUCUAAUGCUCCACCUGAAUCCGAAGUCUCCCUGAUGCUACAAAAGCUGACUCUGUACCUGAGUCCUCUGAGGCCAACCAUCCAAUGCUGUCUUGUUGGGCCUGUUGCUGUACCUCGAACACCAUUGCUAUCCCUUCGGACUCUCUGCACUCCGUGGAUCCCUU
Molecule: long non-coding RNA, 216 nt
Filed under: Elaeis guineensis (African oil palm)
Lineage: Eukaryota; Viridiplantae; Streptophyta; Magnoliopsida; Arecales; Arecaceae
Description: long non-coding RNA (EGUI_LNC034765)
Source: RNAcentral